UCAAGUGUGAGAAGGGCAUUUGGUGGAUGCCUUGGCGCUAAGAGGCGAUGAAGGACGUGGCACGCUGCGUUAAGCCACGGGGAGCCGCGAGCAGGCUUUGAUCCGUGGAUAUCCGAAUGGGGAAACCCGGCCGUAAGGUCAUCUCUAUCUGAAUACAUAGGAUAGAGAAGCAAACCCAGGGAAUUGAAAUAUCUCAGUACCUGGAGGAAAGGACAUCAACAGAGACUCCCCUAGUAGUGACGAGCGAACGGGGACCAGGCCAGUGGCCUGUAUGUAAGAACUAGAACUGUCUGGAAAGUCAGGCCAUAGCGGGUGAUAGCCCCGUAUAGGUAGAAAGCAUACAGGUCCUUGAGUAGGGCGGGGCACGUGAAACCCUGUCUGAACGUGGGGGGACCACCCUCCAAGCCUAAGUACUCCUUAGCGACCGAUAGCGAACCAGUACCGUGAGGGAAAGGUGAAAAGCACCCCGAGUAGGGGAGUGAAAUAGACCUGAAACCGGAUGCCUACAAGCAGUAGGAGCUCCUCUUCGGAGGGGUGACUGCGUACCUUUUGUAUAAUGGGCCAGCGAGUUAGUCUUUGCAGCAAGCUUAAGCCGUUAGGUGUAGGCGUAGCGAAAGCGAGUCUUAAUAGGGCGAAUGAGUUAGAUGGAUCAGACCCGAAACCGAGUGAUCUAGGCAUGGCCAGGUUGAAGGUAAGGUAACACUUACUGGAGGACCGAACCCACAUCCGUUGAAAAGGAUCGGGAUGAGCUGUGCCUAGGGGUGAAAGGCCAAUCAAACUCGGAGAUAGCUGGUUCUCCGCGAAAUCUAUUUAGGUAGAGCGUCAUCCGAAUACCCCGGGGGGUAGAGCACUGGAUGGGUAAUGGGGCCCCACAGGCUUACUGAUCCUAACCAAACUCCGAAUACCCGGGAGUACUAGAUGGCAGACACACUGCGGGUGCUAACGCCCGUAGUGGAGAGGGAAACAACCCUAACCUCCAGCUAAGGCCCCUAAUUCAUGGCUAAGUGGGAAAGCAGGUGAGACGGCCAAAACAACCAGGAGGUUGGCUUAGAAGCAGCCAUCCUUUAAAGAUAGCGUAACAGCUCACUGGUCUAAAUAAGUUGUCCUGCGGCGAAGAUGUAACGGGGCUCAAGCCAUGAGCCGAAACUUCGGAUGCAUUUAAUGCAUGGUAGCGGAGCGUAGUGUGACAUAGUUCCAUGCGUCCUUCGUUUUAUAGCGGACUGCCCAGGCUUUCGAGCCUGUGUGGAGGCGCGUAAAAUACUGGACGCAAGGAGCUUUCUGUGAAGCCGGCCUGUGAGGGAUCCGGUGGAGAGAUCACUAGUGAGAAUGAUGACAUGAGUAGCGACAAAGAGUGUGAGAGACACUCUCGCCGAAAAUCCAAGGGUUCCUGCUUAAAGCUAAUCUGAGCAGGGUAAGCCGACCCCUAAGUCGAGGCCGAAAGGCGUAGACGAUGGGAACCAGGUUAAUAUUCCUGGGCCAGGAAGAUGUGACGGAUCGUGAAGGUUGUUCACCCUUAUUGGAUUGGGUGGGCCGCUAAUCGGUUCCUGGAAAUAGCCUUCCAUAAGAUCGUACCCUAAACCGACACAGGUGGACUGGUAGAGAAUACCAAGGCGCUUGAGAGAACUAUGUUGAAGGAACUCGGCAAAAUACCUCCGUAAGUUCGCGAGAAGGAGGCCCAGUUUCUACGCAAGUAUUGGCUGGGGGCACAAACCAGGGGGUGGCGACUGUUUACUAAAAACACAGGGCUCUGCGAAGUCGCAAGACGACGUAUAGGGUCUGACGCCUGCCCGGUGCCUGAAGGUUAAAAGGAGGGGUGAGAGCUCCGAAUUGAAGCCCAGGUAAACGGCGGCCGUAACUAUAACGGUCCUAAGGUAGCGAAAUUCCUUGUCGGG
Molecule: ribosomal RNA, 1892 nt
Filed under: seawater metagenome
Description: bacterial LSU rRNA
Rfam family: Bacterial large subunit ribosomal RNA
Source: RNAcentral